Long non-coding RNA from Pelodiscus sinensis (Chinese soft-shelled turtle), 1455 nucleotides. RefSeq lists it as uncharacterized. The record is from RefSeq and is a predicted model, not a curated record. NCBI's taxonomy places the organism in Eukaryota, Metazoa, Chordata, Testudines, Trionychidae.
CCUACGGAGCACGAUGCAGCGCUGCGGUGACCCCGCCCCAUGCUGCCCCUAUUGCCUGGCUCCUCGGUUUUAAACUCUGCUGCUCCAGAUGCACGGACCAGAAACCACCCUGGUGCCUUUACAGCAGGCUCUGUGUCUUUCAUUGCCCCCUUGGUACAAAAGAAGUCCAAGGUGAAUAGGCUGUAAAGAAAGCAACUUGAACAAAUCAAGCCAUUAAAUCAAGCAAUGAAAAUCUAAAAGGUCUCUGGCUCCAUCGAGGAUGAUAACCAGAAGUCUGCUUGCGUGUGUGCUCAAUGAUGUGGGCCCAAUGACCACAGCAGACCCCGAGAAGGCCCACAAAGACCACAAACCAGAUAAGGAUCGAAGAUUCUAGAUUUCACAUUGGCCUUUACAGUCUGCUUGACGCCAGCAAGUGUAACUGGAUCCCAAGCCCAGAGAGCCAGGAAUUGCUGCACUGAUCAGCAUGCUGCCAAGGGCACACAACUUGGCACUGGCCAAAACCAAAGAGUCUGAAUCCUCUAUUUCUCUUACAUCAGAGCCUGGAAAGGGAUCAGGAGAAGUUCAUCAAAAGGCAUUGAGGACGAGCUGGGAAGGGUUAGUGAUGUGUAAAUAGAAAUGAAAGAAGCAAACUGUUUUAGAUUUCUGUGAUCAAAACUAAGCCCAACAGUAUUUUUACCGAAAACAGAAGCGAUUUCAUCUUCUGGUAAUGUAACAGAAUAGAUAUGCACCACAUAGAGCUCUUUUUUUUAAAGGCUUGUAUCAAUAAGGUUAACAUUGCCCAUACUGGGUGGGUAUUUACUGGCUAUUUUAAUAAAUUACUAGAAUUGGUAAAGCUGACUUUCUAGAAGACUAUAAUAAAUCAGAAACUCCUUUAUCAUCUCCAGCAGUGAGCCUAUAGAGCUAACCUGCUUGCUUGCCUAUACAUAUCGAUUUAUUAUUUCCUUAUGGUUUUGAUUAUGUUUAUUAUAAUAAGUAGGUUUAUAUUAGCAGUUUGACAAUAUUGCAAGGAACUUACAGGCCUGUAUGUUGAUCUAAGGCAAAGCUAGCAUGCACAUGCCUGGGACCUUUCACCCAGAUAGCACAGUCAGGAUAUAUAUAUACAGCAUAUAUUCAGGAUUUUUCACUUAGAUAAAGCAACCUUCAAUGGCAUAGGGGCUUCCAGGUAUACCCUCAAACUUAGCAGGUACAUCAUUACUUAGAAAAACCCAAAAUAACCGGUUAAGACCAGACCAAAUAACCAGGUAGGACAGAAAUAACAAAUGUGAUAGACAACCACAAAAGGCUCAUUCAUGGUAAUGCAUUGACAUAUAUGACAGUAAGUUGAAAUCAGUGAUAUACUGGCUGAUAAGAAAAAGAAAUGUCCACAUUAGUAAGAUGAGGAAAUACAAAUAAGGAGAAAAAGAAACAUCCCCAUCUGAAUAUGUAUCGAACAUAAAAACGUCAGCGUGACAUAUA